UACGUAGGCAGCGAGCGUUGUUCGGAGUUACUGGGCGUAAAGGGUGUGUAGGCGGUUGUUUAAGUUUGGUGUGAAAUCUCCCGGCUCAACUGGGAGGGUGCGCCGAAUACUGAAUGACUUCGAGUGCGGGAGAGGAAAGUGGAAUUCCUGGUGUAGCGGUGAAAUGCGUAGAUAUCAGGAGGAACACCAGUGGCGAAGGCGGUGCUCUGGGCCGGAACUGACGCUGAGGAGCGAAAGCGUGGGGAGCAAACAGG
RNAcentral lists this ribosomal RNA (254 nucleotides) under uncultured bacterium. RNAcentral describes it as "partial 16S ribosomal RNA". It matches the Rfam family "Bacterial small subunit ribosomal RNA", at positions 524 to 776 of the family's 1533-position model. The record is from RNAcentral.